RNAcentral lists this ribosomal RNA (330 nucleotides) under uncultured bacterium. RNAcentral describes it as "bacterial SSU rRNA". It matches the Rfam family "Bacterial small subunit ribosomal RNA", at positions 568 to 898 of the family's 1533-position model. The record is from RNAcentral.
CGCGUAGGCGGACAGUUAAGUCGGGGGUGAAAGCCCGGGGCUCAACCUCGGAAUUGCCUUCGAUACUGGCUGUCUUGAGUACGGGAGAGGUGUGUGGAACUCCGAGUGUAGAGGUGAAAUUCGUAGAUAUUCGGAAGAACACCAGUGGCGAAGGCGACACACUGGCCCGUUACUGACGCUGAGGCGCGAAAGCGUGGGGAGCAAACAGGAUUAGAUACCCUGGUAGUCCACGCCGUAAACGAUGAGUGCUAGUUGUCGGCAUGCAUGCAUGUCGGUGACGCAGCUAACGCAUUAAGCACUCCGCCUGGGGAGUACGGUCGCAAGAUUAAA